Molecule: transfer RNA, 90 nt
Filed under: Pseudoduganella ginsengisoli
Lineage: Bacteria; Pseudomonadati; Pseudomonadota; Betaproteobacteria; Burkholderiales; Oxalobacteraceae
Description: tRNA-Ser
Rfam family: tRNA
About the family: Transfer RNA (tRNA) molecules are approximately 80 nucleotides in length.
Source: RNAcentral
GGAAACGUGGCCGAGUGGUUGAAGGCAACAGUCUUGAAAACUGUCGACGGGGGAACCCGUUCGUGAGUUCGAAUCUCACCGUUUCCGCCA